This 123-nucleotide transfer RNA is filed under the name Candidatus Cloacimonadota bacterium. RNAcentral describes it as "tRNA-OTHER". The record is from RNAcentral. Lineage: Bacteria; Pseudomonadati; Candidatus Cloacimonadota.
GCCUCUGUAGCUUAGACGGGCUGGCAGAUUGCCAGUGCGGAGCAAUAGGUGGAGCGCGCGGCUGUUAUCCCGUUAUGCGGGCAUGAAACCGCGAGGUCGGCAGUUCGAGUCUGCCCAGGGGCG